Molecule: non-coding RNA, 2261 nt
Organism: Myodes glareolus (Bank vole)
Lineage: Eukaryota; Metazoa; Chordata; Mammalia; Rodentia; Cricetidae
Source: RefSeq, a predicted model, not a curated record
UCUUCUCCAAAGUAACAUACCUUUUGACUUCAAUUUUGAAGUAUUUCCUCUGUGUGAUUUUUCUUUGGGGCUUCCCGGCUGUGAGGUACUGGGUAGGACAGGUACCCCAGCAAGCAGACCCCUUCAUGUUACAAUCUAUCAGAUUUAUUUCUGUAUCACUAUUAUUACAUAUAUCAUAAGAGUGUUUUCUGUUCCAAACAUGGCUAUUGGGUCUAAUGGUUCCAUGAACAGAGAGACCCUAGUAUAUUGCCUUCUUGUGAACAAGAUGUUCUCUUCAUUACUUUAUAAUACACAGGCACACAAAAUUAGAUAUUAAAGUAGUUAGUCUCAAAACAGAACGCAUUGCCCAUUAGCAACAAAUUCAUUUAGUGAUAGCUUCAUCUUAAAGCAAAAAUAGCCAAGCUCAACACCGAAAAAAUACAUGUCUAUUUCAUAUGGAAAUCAUGCAGAAGUCUGUCUCCAUGUGUCAGCCCUUUGCUGCCUUCCUGUUUUGUGUUUAAAUCCUUUCACAGUGCAGCCUCAGUAGAAGAGAGGAAGAAGAUCUGCAUCUCCUGGAGCUUGAUUAAUGAAAGGACAAGAUGCAGGAUGAAGCUUAUGACAUAAACCUGAGGGUCAUAACCAUAGUCAGACCAGUUUGCUAGGACAUUCCCCAAUGACCUAUUGCCAGGAAUGGAACUACGCCAUGAAUUCCACAGAGAUCUGGAGUAAAACAAACAGAACCUUUAAACCACAGGCCAGCAGUCAUGAACCAGAGGUGGAAAACACAAAACAGGAACAAGAUGGAACUGUGUUUAAGCCAGAAAUCAAACUGUCUGUUCCCAGGCCCGAAUCCAAAAGCUUCUGCUGCACAGCCUCAUGACCCUUGCCAUGUGGGUGCUAUUGGACAAUGCAUACUGCUAUUUAUAUUGGCAUCUUCCAGGUCAACCAUCUGAUGAGGGAUGUGAGGACACGCCUGAGAGGCAACUGAAAACCGGAAGCUCUCCAGGGAAUUCUCCAGGACUCCAGCACCAGGUUUGGUCUUCUGAGUCAGCCAGUCUCAGACUGAACAACUAUGGGAUUCUUCGCCUUUCUAUGAAGAGACAGUAUUGUCACCCCACCCACACUACAGCCUGUAGAGCAUUCUGUGUCCAUUCUCUUAGCUCUGCUCCUUUCUAGGACCCUGACUAACCGAGCAGGUAAUAAGCUUCUUUUACCUUUACCCCUAUGUCUUCAGACAUGCUCUGUAGACACACUGAGCCAUCCACACCAAUUUUAUAGUGACGCUCUGGAAAUUCGAUGUUCUUCUGUUUCUUUUAGUUACAAUAAAGUCACAUUCCAGAGUCUGUAUCUGAACUAAGGCCAUCUGGGACAGGAGAGUGAUGGGCACAGUGCAGCUUUUGCUAUUUCUACACAAGGUGAUCAAGAAUGACUUAUUCUUGGAGCUUUGCCUUGCUCUUGAAUGAUUCCCCUUCUGCCCCCUUCUCUAAAUACCCCUUCCAUUCACGGGCUACAAUCAUCCUCUAGCUUUUCCAUGUCUCCAGUUUUCUGUUGAUGCCACCUUGAUCCAUGUAGGAGCCACUCUUGUAGGAUUCAUGAAACCCUGUUAUGAUCCUGUCAUUUGCUUAGAAAUGUCAAAAAGCAGUUGAGUACAGGAGGAUGGAAUACCUUUACCACAUUCUGCCCUCUCUCCCCUUCUCUGGGUUUCAUGUAGCACAGGCUGUCUUCCUGUCUCCUUGGUACCCAAAGCUGGCCAUGAACUUCUAUUUUCCCUGCUUCUACCUCCCAGAAUUAGAGGCAUGCUCUACCACAUUCAGCUUAACUGAAUAUUUCAAUAUAACCAUUGUGUAGGAUUUUUUAACAUUAUCAACACAACAUGCCUGGCAUGAUGGAUCGGCACUUACCCAUAUCUGAUUAACCCUCAGUGUAUACAUGUACAAGUCACAUUGUACCCAAUACAUAUGUACAAUUACCAUGUGUCAAUUAAAUUGAUAAACUGCAUAAUAAUAUGUUACCAAAUAACAUACUCUGAAGAAAUAAUAAAGACAGUAAAUGCCUAUAUAGUGUUUGUUAACUGUCAGGAACUCUUCUAUAUACUUAAAAUCGUUAAUCCUCAAAUCUUCUUAAUAAAGUAUAUUCACCUUCAGAAAAUGAAGAUUUUUUUGAGAAAAGAUUUUAGUUUUGUUUACAUAUAAAUGGGAUCAUGAAAUACACACUGUUUUGUUUCUCCCAAGUGUAUUUUUGCAGUAUGAAUAAAAGUGAAUAAAAUCUACCUUGUGAGAGCA